AAAUAUACUAGAACAAGAGUGCACACGCUGAAAUGUCUCGCCUUCUAUACUAAUCAUUGAUAUUAUGUUGAUAGUCCUAAGUAAAAAGCUAAGCUUUAUAACAACUGUACCAUAAACUUAACAUUAACCAAGAUAACUAAACAAAGACCAAUGAACCUUGAAAAUGAGGUCAAGGUCAGAUGAACCAUGCCAGGCAGACAUGUACAGCUAACAAUGCUUCUAUACAACACAUAUAGUUGACCUAUUACUUAAAGUUUAAGAACAAGAGUGCACACGCUGAAAUGUCUCGCCUUCUUUACUAAUCAUUGAUAUUAUGUUGAUAGACCUAAAUAUAAAGCUUUAUUACAACUGUCACAUAAACUGAACAUUAACCAAGAAAACGAAACAUUGAUCAAUGAACCAUGAAAAUGAGGUCAAAGUCAGAUGAACCAUGCCAGGCAGACAUGUACAGCUA
RNAcentral lists this long non-coding RNA (454 nucleotides) under Mytilus galloprovincialis (Mediterranean mussel). The record is from RNAcentral. Lineage: Eukaryota; Metazoa; Mollusca; Bivalvia; Mytilida; Mytilidae.